AACGCGAAGAACCUUACCAGGGUUGGACAUGGGCAGGAAGUCCUCUGAGAGGAGGGUCCCUUCGGGGUCUGUCCACAGGUGCUGCAUGGCUGUCGUCAGCUCGUGUCGUGAGAUGUUGGGUUAAGUCCCGCAACGAGCGCAACCCUUAUCCCUAGUUGCCAUCGGGUCAAGCCGGGCACUCUAGUGAAACUGCCUCGGAUAACGAGGAGGAAGGUGGGGAUGACGUCAAGUCCUCAUGGCCUUUAUGUCCAGGGCUACACACGUGCUACAAUGGUCGGUACAAACCGUCGCAAACCCGUGAGGGGGAGCUAAUCGGAAAAAGCCGGCCUCAGUUCGGAUUGGAGUCUGCAACUCGACUCCAUGAAGCUGGAAUCGCUAGUAAUCGCGGAUCAGAACGCCGCGGUGAAUACGUUCCCGGGCCUUGUACACACCGCACUACUA
RNAcentral lists this ribosomal RNA (441 nucleotides) under uncultured bacterium. RNAcentral's name for it is "bacterial SSU rRNA". It matches the Rfam family "Bacterial small subunit ribosomal RNA", at positions 958 to 1400 of the family's 1533-position model. The record is from RNAcentral.